UGGGGCGUCGGCAAGUGGUAAGCCACCAGGUUUUGGUCCUGGCAUGCGCAGGUUCGAAUCCUGCCGCCCCAG
This 72-nucleotide transfer RNA is filed under the name Spirochaeta sp. RNAcentral's name for it is "tRNA-Gln". It matches the Rfam family "tRNA". From Rfam's summary of the family: Transfer RNA (tRNA) molecules are approximately 80 nucleotides in length. Their secondary structure includes four short double-helical elements and three loops (D, anti-codon, and T loops). Lineage: Bacteria; Pseudomonadati; Spirochaetota; Spirochaetia; Spirochaetales; Spirochaetaceae. The record is from RNAcentral. RNAcentral also lists the same sequence under 3 other names.